GACGAACGCUGGCGGCGUGCUUAACACAUGCAAGUCGAACGGACGAGUGAGAUAAGUUUACUUAACUCACAAGUUAGUGGCGGACGGGUGAGUAACACGUGGAUAAUCUACCUGCAACACCGGGAUAACGCUGUGAAAACGGUGCUAAUACCGGAUACGUUCCCUUGUGCGCAUGUAUGAGGGAAGAAAGCUCAGGCGGUUGCAGAUGAGUCCGCGGCUGAUUAGCUAGUUGGUGAGGUAAAGGCUCACCAAGGCGAUGAUCAGUAGCCGGCCUGAGAGGGUGAACGGCCACACUGGGACUGAGACACGGCCCAGACUCCUACGGGAGGCAGCAGUGGGGAAUCUUCCGCAAUGGGCGCAAGCCUGACGGAGCAACGCCGCGUGGGUGAAGAAGGCCUCGGUUGUAAGCCUGUCUUAUGGAAGAAGUACAGUGACGGUACCACUAGGAGGAAGGCCGAACGGCGUAACUACGUGCCAGCAGCCGCGGUAAACGAGUAGUAAC
Molecule: ribosomal RNA, 502 nt
Filed under: uncultured bacterium
Lineage: Bacteria
Description: bacterial SSU rRNA
Rfam family: Bacterial small subunit ribosomal RNA
Source: RNAcentral